UGAUGGAUGGACCCGCGGUGCAUUAGCUAGUUGGUAGGGUAAUGGCCUACCAAGGCAACGAUGCAUAGCCGACCUGAGAGGGUGAUCGGCCACACUGGGACUGAGACACGGCCCAGACUCCUACGGGAGGCAGCAGUAGGGAAUCUGCGGCAAUGGACGAAAGUCUGACCGAGCAACGCCGCGUGAGUGAAGAAGGUUUUCGGAUCGUAAAACUCUGUUGUUAGAGAAGAACAAGGAUGAGAGUAAAAUGUCAUC
This 255-nucleotide ribosomal RNA is filed under the name uncultured bacterium. RNAcentral's name for it is "partial 16S ribosomal RNA". It matches the Rfam family "Bacterial small subunit ribosomal RNA", at positions 219 to 470 of the family's 1533-position model. The record is from RNAcentral.